This is a long non-coding RNA of Sitophilus oryzae (rice weevil), 207 nucleotides long. RefSeq lists it as uncharacterized. The record is from RefSeq and is a predicted model, not a curated record. NCBI's taxonomy places the organism in Eukaryota, Metazoa, Arthropoda, Insecta, Coleoptera, Curculionidae. The transcript is spliced from 2 exons.
UGUGUAUUUUGUACCUGCUGGAUAAUAUUUUGAAACAUAUUUAAUUAAACAAAAAGCAUCUGUAUUACAGGUGUGACUGCUAAGUGGUCGUACUCGCCACUUUAACCAACCAUUGGUGGGACCAUGGUAGGACCUUCAGAGAUUAUAAUGCGAAUUUUUCAUACCAUGUAAAUCUAUAUACAUAUAUUAAUAAAUGCGUUUGUUUUA